Molecule: small nuclear RNA, 108 nt
Organism: Dipodomys ordii (Ord's kangaroo rat)
Lineage: Eukaryota; Metazoa; Chordata; Mammalia; Rodentia; Heteromyidae
Source: Ensembl
GUUCUCGCUUCACAGCACAUAUACCAAAAUUGGAACAAUACAAAGGAGAUUAACAUAGCCCUUGAGCAAAGACAACCGGCAAAAUUUGUAGAAGCAUUCCAUAUUUUU